RNAcentral lists this unclassified non-coding RNA (321 nucleotides) under Hevea brasiliensis (rubber tree). Lineage: Eukaryota; Viridiplantae; Streptophyta; Magnoliopsida; Malpighiales; Euphorbiaceae. The record is from RNAcentral.
AGAAGUCGACCACAAGUCACAAAUCCUCAGACAAGCUUCCUUGAACCUCCGAAUUUCAACAGCAAUCCUCAUGAUUAUUAUGAUAAUUUCUCUGACAGAAGUCUAGAUGAGCAAGAGCAAGAGCACGAGCACAAGCACGUUGACCUGAGGAAUUCUAAUAGGCUGGCCAAUACCUUCUUCAUGGACGAUUCGGUUGGAGACUUCAACCUUCCUUUUGAUGAUAUUUACAGAAGGCCCUCAGGAAACCCCACAAGAAAAUUAGAUCCUUCAGAUCUUGUUUGAUUUCAAUCUCUUAACAACACUAGGAAAUGUUAUGAAUUC